This 503-nucleotide ribosomal RNA is filed under the name uncultured bacterium. RNAcentral describes it as "bacterial SSU rRNA". It matches the Rfam family "Bacterial small subunit ribosomal RNA", at positions 121 to 623 of the family's 1533-position model. The record is from RNAcentral.
GUGACCUGCCUCUGGAUGGGGGAUAACCCGGGGAAACUCGGGCUAAUACCGCAUAACAUCUAAGGAUCAAAGAGGGCCGCAAGGCUCUCGUCCGGAGAGGGGCUCGCGUACGAUUAGCUAGUUGGUGGGGUAAUGGCCUACCAAGGCGACGAUCGUUAGCCGGUCUGAGAGGGUGAUCGGCCACACUGGAACUGAGACACGGUCCAGACUCCUACGGGAGGCAGCAGUGGGGAAUUUUGCGCAAUGGGCGAAAGCCUGACGCAGCAACGCCGCGUGGAGGAUGAAGGUCUUCGGAUUGUAAACUCCUGUCAGCAGGGAACAAAUGCACCGGCCGAAUACGCCGGUGUUUUGAGUGUACCUGCAGAGGAAGCCCCGGCUAACUCUGUGCCAGCAGCCGCGGUAAUACAGAGGGGGCAAGCGUUAUUCGGAAUUAUUGGGCGUAAAGGGCGCGUAGGCGGCUUCGCAAGUGGAAGGUGAAAUCCCUCGGCUCAACCGAGGAACUG